This 484-nucleotide ribosomal RNA is filed under the name uncultured bacterium. RNAcentral describes it as "partial 16S ribosomal RNA". It matches the Rfam family "Bacterial small subunit ribosomal RNA", at positions 30 to 507 of the family's 1533-position model. The record is from RNAcentral.
AUUGAACGCUGGCGGCAGGCCUAACACAUGCAAGUCGAGCGGAUGAAGGGAGCUUGCUCCUGGAUUCAGCGGCGGACGGGUGAGUAAUGCCUAGGAAUCUGCCUGGCAGUGGGGGAUAACGUCCGGAAACGGGCGCUAAUACCGCAUACGUCCUGAGGGAGAAAGUGGGGGAUCUUCGGACCUCACGCUAUCAGAUGAGCCUAGGUCGGAUUAGCUAGUUGGUGGGGUAAAGGCCUACCAAGGCGACGAUCCGUAACUGGUCUGAGAGGAUGAUCAGUCACACUGGAACUGAGACACGGUCCAGACUCCUACGGGAGGCAGCAGUAGGGAAUAUUGGGCAAUGGGCGAAAGCCUGAUCCAGCCAUGCCGCGUGUGUGAAGAAGGUCUUCGGAUUGUAAAGCACUUUAAGUUGGGAGGAAGGGCAGUAAGUUAAUACCUUGCUGUUUUGACGUUACCAACAGAAUAAGCACCGGCUAACUUCGUG